UACGAAGGGGGCUAGCGUUGCUCGGAAUCACUGGGCGUAAAGCGCACGUAGGCGGACUCUUAAGUCGGUGGUGAAAUCCUGGAGCUCAACUCCAGAACUGCCUUCGAUACUGAGAGUCUCGAGUCCGGGAGAGGUGAGUGGAACUGCGAGUGUAGAGGUGAAAUUCGUAGAUAUUCGCAAGAACACCAGUGGCGAAGGCGGCUCACUGGCCCGGUACUGACGCUGAGGUGCGAAAGCGUGGGGAGCAGACAGG
This 253-nucleotide ribosomal RNA is filed under the name uncultured bacterium. RNAcentral's name for it is "partial 16S ribosomal RNA". It matches the Rfam family "Bacterial small subunit ribosomal RNA", at positions 524 to 776 of the family's 1533-position model. The record is from RNAcentral.